AAGCAAGUAUAAGGACCUUAUCUUUUGAGGAAGUGUAUCGCUGUGUUUUUAUAACGCCUCACUUUAGUCAGUCAUUGACACAUUUGGAGAGUUCAACUGAAGUGGCUUUGACAGACAGAGGACCAACAGAUUCCAUCUCACCAAAUAAAUAAACGUACAAAGUCAAGAUAUCACUCAUGCAUUACUGAUAGACAUAACCUUUAAAGUAAAAUAAAACCCUUCACAGCGUUCGAGGGAGAAAAUCAACACACUCCUAAUCCACAUAAUGUGUACUACAAUACCAGACACCCGCUUGAUCUGUGUGUGAUCAGAGAGAAUCCAAUCAUAUACUACAUUAACACAUCUACAGCACGUUUAUUUUCAAUUUCUUGAAACUGAUGAAUGCAACGACUACAUACAUGCCUUCAUUACAAUAUUGCUGUGUCAAAGAGUUUUCUGUAAUGACAAGUGUAAGGACCAAACUGAGUUUUUUUAGUUGGUGCUCUGUUGACGAUGUGUGUCACUGCGUACAGCCUAAUUUGAGUCAUUAACAUGUAUUUGUAAUGGUCAACUGAAGGGUCUGAGAGAGAGGAAAUACCUAUCUAAUCUCACCAAAUCAAUAAUGUCAAAAAUGGAUGUCACUCACUGAUUACUGUGGGGAAAUAAAACCUUGUUGGUUUCAGAGGGUGACCCGAUCCAACACUGAUCACAUGGCAUUGUUUACAUUCCCACUCACCUGCAUAAACAGAACAAGGAAAUACAUGACAGUACAGUAGUACAUUUGGUAUCUAUUCAUUCAGGCCUGACUAUGACCUUCUGUUUCAUAUAGCAUCAUCGACAUCAAGUGUCCCUGUGCCCUGACAGACUGCUAGACACAUUAUAUCAUUACAGAAGCAUUAAAAGGCUUGUUAUAUGCAAAACAAGUUUAAAGUGAUCAUAUAGUAGAAUAUAGUUUGUCCUCCAAAUGAUGAGUCAGUGUUUUCUAAAAUUGUAAUCGCUGCUAUAACUAACAGUGAAAAUAUUUUUGUUUGUUUGUUUGAUGGUCAGUCAUUUCUGUUUGAUUAUUUUCACCAUUGGUGUUUGUAGUAUUGACCUAUGUAUGUUGUGGAUAUAUACACAAUACUGCCACAUGGUGGCAAAAUACAGUCAUUACAGUUGGUGUGAAACAGGCUGGUUGUGCUUGUAUCAUUUGAAUGCAGGGGCAAGUCAGUAAAAACAUAUAUAUUUCAUUUUCACACAUUUAGCCAGCUAUUCCAGCAAGGCCAAACAGUCUGUGAUCUCCUCUGGGUCAUUUUAAGCCAAAUCUAGAGAACCCCUCACCAUAGCGAUGUGUGCAGACAACACUCUCAACGACUCCCCUACCAAAGGACUGGUCUGACUGGUGACAUGGGGCCUUCCAUAUGUGAGGCCUCCAAUGAUGUGAGCGGGGUGGUCAUGGGGCACCUGGCUUUCAGCGUUCUCUACGGACCUGAUGAGGUGACCAUGGUGGCUACACCUAAGGGCCCAUCCUAUCACUCAGGCUCUGACAUCACCCUGUCCUGCUCUUCUGAGUCCAAGCCUGCUGCCCAGUUCCAGUGGGCUCUGAGUGGAACCCUGCUGGGUAGAGAGGGACCAGAACUCAGACUGGAGAACGUUCAGGCCAGGACUCAGACUGGAGAACGUUCAGGCCAGAACUCAGACUGGGGAACGUUCAGGCCAGGACUCAGACUGGGGAACGUUCAGGCCAGGACUCAGACUGGAGAACGUUCAGGCCAGGACUCAGACUGGGGAACGUUCAGGCCAGGACUCAGACUGGAGAACGUUCAGGCCAGGACUCAGACUGGAGAACGUUCAGGCCAGGACUUCUCCUGGGAUUGACACACUCAAGAGACAUGUGUUUUCACACACAUCGACCUGUGGUUUUAUUUACACUUUUUGUAUGUCUCCGU
Clupea harengus (Atlantic herring) is the source of this 1907-nucleotide long non-coding RNA. The record is from Ensembl. Lineage: Eukaryota; Metazoa; Chordata; Actinopteri; Clupeiformes; Clupeidae.